CUACGGGCUGCUCCAGUGGGGAAUAUUGCACAAUGGGGGAAACCCUGAUGCAGCAACGCCGCGUGGAGGAUGACGCAUUUCGGUGUGUAAACUCCUUUUAUAUCCCAAGAUAAUGACGGUAGGAUAUGAAUAAGCACCGGCUAACUCCGUGCCAGCAGCCGCGGUAAUACGGAGGGUGCAAGCGUUACUCGGAAUCACUGGGCGUAAAGGGCGCGUAGGCGGGUUGUCAAGUCUUGAGUGAAAUCCAACGGCUCAACCGUUGAACUGCUUGAGAAACUGGCAGCCUAGAGUAAGGGAGAGGUAGAUGGAAUUGGUGGUGUAGGGGUAAAAUCCGUAGAGAUCACCAGGAAUACCCAUUGCGAAGGCGAUCUGCUGGAACUUUACUGACGCUGAGGCGCGAAAGCGUGGGGAGCAAACAGGAUUAGAUACCCGGGUAGUC
This 439-nucleotide ribosomal RNA is filed under the name uncultured bacterium. Its description in RNAcentral is "partial 16S ribosomal RNA". It matches the Rfam family "Bacterial small subunit ribosomal RNA", at positions 339 to 795 of the family's 1533-position model. The record is from RNAcentral.